UUUAUAAAUGUCUGAAGCAAACAUGCUAAAAUUUAUUAUUCAUUGUGUAUUGUGUUUUAUUAUCUUUAACGAUACGUCUGGAAAGCCUGUUAGCAAUGAUACUGAGCUGGGGGUCUAUGUGCCAUUGGAGACUGAUGU
Long non-coding RNA from Anoplophora glabripennis (Asian longhorned beetle), 138 nucleotides. RefSeq lists it as uncharacterized. The transcript is spliced from 2 exons. NCBI's taxonomy places the organism in Eukaryota, Metazoa, Arthropoda, Insecta, Coleoptera, Cerambycidae. The record is from RefSeq and is a predicted model, not a curated record.